CAGCCGCCGCGGUAAUACAGAGGGUGCAAGCGUUAAUCGGAAUUACUGGGCGUAAAGCGCGCGUAGGUGGUUUGUUAAGUUGAAUGUGAAAUCCCCGGGCUCAACCUGGGAACUGCAUCCAAAACUGGCAAGCUAGAGUAGGGCAGAGGGUGGUGGAAUUUCCUGUGUAGCGGUGAAAUGCGUAGAUAUAGGAAGGAACACCAGUGGCGAAGGCGACCACCUGGGCUCAUACUGACACUGAGGUGCGAAAGCGUGGGGAGCAAACAGGAUUAGAUACCCGAGUAGUCCCUGUCUCUUAUAC
This 301-nucleotide ribosomal RNA is filed under the name uncultured bacterium. RNAcentral describes it as "partial 16S ribosomal RNA". It matches the Rfam family "Bacterial small subunit ribosomal RNA", at positions 509 to 807 of the family's 1533-position model. The record is from RNAcentral.